Molecule: ribosomal RNA, 506 nt
Filed under: uncultured bacterium
Lineage: Bacteria
Description: partial 16S ribosomal RNA
Rfam family: Bacterial small subunit ribosomal RNA
Source: RNAcentral
UGGGGAAUUUUGGACAAUGGGCGAAAGCCUGAUCCAGCAAUGCCGCGUGUGUGAAGAAGGCCUUCGGGUUGUAAAGCACUUUUGUCCGGAAAGAAAUGGCUCUGGUUAAUACCUGGGGUCGAUGACGGUACCGGAAGAAUAAGGACCGGCUAACUACGUGCCAGCAGCCGCGGUAAUACGUAGGGUCCAAGCGUUAAUCGGAAUUACUGGGCGUAAAGCGUGCGCAGGCGGUUGUGCAAGACCGAUGUGAAAUCCCCGAGCUUAACUUGGGAAUUGCAUUGGUGACUGCACGGCUAGAGUGUGUCAGAGGGGGGUAGAAUUCCACGUGUAGCAGUGAAAUGCGUAGAGAUGUGGAGGGAAUACCGAUGGGCGAAGGCAGCCCCCUGGGAAUAACACUGACGCUCAUGCACGAAAGCGUGGGGAGCAAACAGGAUUAGAUACCCUGGUAGUCCACGCCCUAAACGAUGUCAACUAGUUGUUGGGGAUUCAUUUCCUUAGUAACGUAG